AUAGAGCGCCGAAAGGCCGCUUAAAACCAUCGCGUACCUAUCCAUCAGCGUUGCUUCGGCGGGCUACGACCCCCCUCCACCCCCGCGAGGGGGGAAGGGGUCCCCGGCGCCCCGCAUCUUCGGGUGCGGGGCGGCCCGCCGGAGGUACGAAACUCUAAUGCAACUUCGUGGCAUCUAUGAGUAAGCAAGCAAAUAAAAGUUA
This 202-nucleotide unclassified non-coding RNA is filed under the name soil metagenome. RNAcentral describes it as "partial internal transcribed spacer 1". The record is from RNAcentral.